This is a non-coding RNA of Gekko japonicus, 411 nucleotides long. NCBI's taxonomy places the organism in Eukaryota, Metazoa, Chordata, Lepidosauria, Squamata, Gekkonidae. The record is from the annotation of a RefSeq genome assembly.
CUCAAGAAGUAAACCUCAUCCGAGUUUCCCAUCAUGCUCUUGGUCUUGUUCCUGCUCACACUCUUCAAUUACUGGUCAGGUUCUUUUGGCCAGUAUGUCCUGACUCAACCAUCCUCUGUGUCUGUGAUGCCAGAACAAAAUGCCCAGAUCACUUGUUCAGGGAACAACAUUGGGAGCAAGAAUGUGCAGUGGUACCGGCAGAAGCCCGGAAUGGCCCCAGUCCUCAUCAUAUAUUAUAGUACCAGCAGACCCUCUGGGAUCUCAGACCGAUUCUCUGGCUCCAACUCUGGCAACACAGCCACUUUAAGCAUUGCCAGAGCCAAAGCAGAGGAUGAGGCCAAUUAUUACUGCAGUGUGUGGGACAGCAAUGCUGCUCACAGUGAUACAAGCAGAGGGGGAAGUCAGGAGUGA